AGGCGAAUGCAUUGGCAACUGUGCAAGUGCUGUUCUCAGGCUCUGACCGUCGGGGUAUCUCGAUCCCCGUAUCCAAAAAGAAUUCCAAUUUGAGAAAAACGUAUGGAAAUCACAAAGGAACUCGAGUCCAGUAAACAGAUCCCUUCAAGAUCUCAAACAGGAGUCCAACAUAUAGUGCAUACUCCCCAGUACAUACAAACGUGGAUAUCGUCUGUUUGCCGCGUUGUACCAUUGCAUUCAGAAGUUUUUUUUCUGCUAUAUUGUGGGUGUGUUUUACCGCUGAUAAGGGUGCUUUCACCCUCAUAUGAUGCUGGCAGAUGCGAACCGUUUUAACUGUUUCCGACGGUGAAGCAGCCUGUCCUCGCAGUGGAACAUAUUUCUUAAUCAGGCCCUGUCGAGGUCGACGCAGUUCUCUGCGAUGGUGCGAGGAAGGAAAAGCCAGAAACAGAGGGAAACUGCGGGACAAAACAGUGAUGAUGGCGCCCGAGAGAAAGGGGAGGAAAGGGCGACACGGAAAAUGACCUAGGAACCACUCCACGCAGAUUCUACGGAGUGCGACCGAAACGCAUGCCGCAAGAGGAAAGAAGGACCGUGUCAGCCGGUCGUGGUAAAACGAAACCGACCGGAGGAAAUAAACGGCGAAGGACGACGCACAAUGAAGAAGGAGAGAGCAAACUGCAUGAACUUCACUGGGUGGUGUCCGACCACGAGCAGAAAACCAGCUGCAGGUUCUUGACCGAGUACAGUGGUGACAAGGAGACGGGAAACACGACACUGUGUUAGCAGAGAUGACAGCAGACUAAAUGUUCUAACGAGAGACUAUCGAAGGUACCCCAUAAGAAACAGUUUCCUUGUGCAUUUGUGUCUGAACAACACUUCACCUCAAGUGUCGCAAGAGUCUGUUGCACGCAGCAAGCAGUUCUCCAGCGACUUGUUUUCAUCAGGAAUACCUGAAUUUCAUUCUCCGGCAAAUUUUGCCGGUUGGGAUUUUCGCACGACCCUUCGGUCACGGAAACCGAGGGCGGAAGGUGACCGUUAUUUUUAGCGAUAGAAAAUCUCUGGCGGAAACAUGAGAAGAAACAAGGCUCCACAACAAAUGCAGGGGAGACGACAUGCCAGUGUUCUACCACGUUGUGGAAAUUCUGCUUGGUGUUUCAUUUGCGUUUUGAUUGUUGUCUACUGUUGUCUGUGGCUUGUUAAGUCCACAUCCUUAAUCAUUGUUCUGUACGUUGUGCCAAAGACCUCAUGGUCAUUGUGUAUGUGACCUUUAUAGUGGAGUAGAGAAAUCUGUUUCGCACUCAGACAUAGGGACUACAUCCAGCCCGUUCUGAGUAUCAGGCGUACUCCUUUUCAUUCUUUG
RNAcentral lists this long non-coding RNA (1360 nucleotides) under Toxoplasma gondii VEG. Lineage: Eukaryota; Apicomplexa; Conoidasida; Eucoccidiorida; Sarcocystidae. The record is from RNAcentral.